GCCGGGUGUGGUGGCGGGCGCCUGUAGUCCCAGCUACUGGGGAGGCUGAGGCAGGAGAAUUGCUUGAACCCGGGAGGAGGGGGUUGCAGUGAGCCAAGAUCAUGCCACUGCACUCCAGCCUGGGUGACAGAGUGAGACUCUGUCUCAA
Molecule: unclassified non-coding RNA, 148 nt
Organism: Pongo abelii (Sumatran orangutan)
Lineage: Eukaryota; Metazoa; Chordata; Mammalia; Primates; Hominidae
Rfam family: Metazoan signal recognition particle RNA
About the family: The signal recognition particle (SRP) is a universally conserved ribonucleoprotein. It is involved in the co-translational targeting of proteins to membranes. The eukaryotic SRP consists of a 300-nucleotide 7S RNA and six proteins: SRPs 72, 68, 54, 19, 14, and 9.
Source: Ensembl